This is a long non-coding RNA of Stomoxys calcitrans (stable fly), 373 nucleotides long. RefSeq lists it as uncharacterized. The record is from RefSeq and is a predicted model, not a curated record. The transcript is spliced from 4 exons. NCBI's taxonomy places the organism in Eukaryota, Metazoa, Arthropoda, Insecta, Diptera, Muscidae.
GCCGAAACUGAAAGAUGCAACAUAAGACCUGCCUAGUACCCCAGCUAUGCAUGGCCAUUCGUGUCCUUGAGCAUUGUCAUGUGCGGGCUUUUUAAUAGCUCAGAGAUCGCUAAAAACACCGAGAAAAAAGGAAUCGUUGAUCUCAUGUUCUGUCUGCCACAUGGAUGGGUAUGCGUUCCAUUCGUUAGGUUUUUAUAAUUUUGAUUGGCCCUCUUCCCGUUCGAUUAUGGGGAAGAAUGGGGAAGAGAAACACGCAACUGCCAAUAUGGGCUCCAGUAAAGAUGUCUACAACAGUGCUGCAUUCAUGUUCGACUCCUUAAUAUUGUGUUGGAGCAUUGAUAAUCAAUACUAUGUAAUGAAAUUUUGACUGGAC